Molecule: non-coding RNA, 86 nt
Organism: Peniophora sp. CONT
Lineage: Eukaryota; Fungi; Basidiomycota; Agaricomycetes; Russulales; Peniophoraceae
Source: Rfam
CCUUCGAUAGCUCAGUUGGAAGAGCGUGGGACUGUAAUGGGUAUCCUGGCAUCCCGAGGUCACUGGUUCGAUCCCGGUUCGAAGGA